Pelobates cultripes (western spadefoot toad) is the source of this 209-nucleotide non-coding RNA. NCBI's taxonomy places the organism in Eukaryota, Metazoa, Chordata, Amphibia, Anura, Pelobatidae. The record is from the annotation of a GenBank genome assembly.
CAAAAUGAGUUGCACAGAAUCAAUGACCAAGUACCGCUGCCCGCGUUCGGGAGACAAAAUGGCAGUGGAAAGCACUCAAGUUAAUCCUUUAAUUGCAGUUAACAGCCAGGGGUGGUCGGUGUUCUAAGUCACUAAAGAGGGGGACCACACAAGUUCUGUUCAGUACCCGAAAAGGGUGUACUGGUCUGUUCGGUAGAACUAAAUAUAGG